UCUCUGCCAAGCACCGUUUCCUAGCUGGAACAGGGGGAAAAACCGCAGCACUUCUGCCCACAGUCGCCGGGACUUGACUGGGGUCCUAGAGCCGAAUGGGGAACUCGCUCUAUCCACCCCCAGGCACUGGACGACACAGUCCUAGGAGCUCUAGUCCUCACAAAGACUUUCUUAGUUGAAUCCUCCACACUGGAACAGUGAUUAGCCAUCUCUCCUCCCAGUAACCAGACGACACAUAGUUCUGGGAGUACAAGCUGGAAUGUUUUAAUCUGGUCAGAUGGGCUGCUUUUAUAUAAUUUGUAGACACAGUUAAGCAUACCCCGGACACUCCCACACAACAAGAUAAUCUAUCAUCUGGACCUGAGAGGGGACUAGUUACCAGUCCCAAACUCCUCCCCUGUGUCUGAGAGAUAAUGAGUCAGGAAUUGAACAAACUCAAUUAUCUCCAGGCACAGAAAAC
Molecule: non-coding RNA, 460 nt
Organism: Pelobates cultripes (western spadefoot toad)
Lineage: Eukaryota; Metazoa; Chordata; Amphibia; Anura; Pelobatidae
Source: the annotation of a GenBank genome assembly